UGACCGGAUUUGGGGUUUUUUGGGAGAGAUUCGUGGUCGUCCAUGGUAGUCCCAGGCUGGAUCUGCGGUUUGUGUGAGGGAGAAGAGAAGAUUGGGAGAGAGGAAGGCCGCGGUUUGGCCGCCGGAGGACAGAGGGAGUGGCGAUGGCGGCUAGGUUUUUGUUUGAGGAAUCUGAGCGAGGGAGAGGGAUGCGGCAGAGCAGCUGUUUUAGCCGGAGGUCGAGGCUGGAAAGGGUGGCUCCUUCUCUCUCUUCGAGUAUUAUCCUAACUUGAUGUAGCUCAAUUCUUCAUGCGAUGUAUAGGAGUUCNCGCGGCUCAGGGGCAGCGGUCGUUGGGUGACUGGUGGCCGGAAGCGGGCCUCUUGCAGGGUAAUCGAAGGAGGAGAAGUUUGGUGGCCGGAUUUGGGGUUUUUUGGGAGAGAUUCGUGGUCGUCCAUGGUAGUCCCAGGCUGAAUCUGCGGUUUGUGUGAGGGAGAAGAGAAGAUUGGGAGAGAGGAAGGCCGCGGUUUGGCCGCCGGAGGACAGAGGGAGCGGCGAUGGCGUGUUUGAGGAAUCUGAGCGAGGGAGAGGGAUGCGGCAGAGCAGCUGUUUUAGCCGGAGGUCGAGGCUGGAAAGGGUGGCUCCUUCUCUCUCUUCGAGUAUUAUCCUAACUUGAUGUAGCUCAAUUCUUCAUGCGAUGUAUAGGAGUUCAUAGAGCAGGUAGGGAAAGACGGCGUUGAGUCGGACGAGCAGCGACGGCGGCGUUUGCCACUGCUUGAUUCGAGAAGGGGGGCAGCGCGUGCCUGCGUGGGACGAAGGUGGCGGCCGCGGCCGUGGCUCACCGCUGUCGCCGGAGGACAGAGGGAUGUGGCGGCGGUUCUUCUCGCCUGGCCAAGGGUGGACCUCAGCGGUGGCCACCCGAGUUUUAGGCUAACCUCAGAUGCACUCAACAACAAAUUCAAGCUGCAAUCCAUCUUGAAUUCUAGCUCGAAUGUGACUAUUUCGAACUUUUCAAGUAGGAUUUACAGCUGAAAUCAGGUGCUUUAAUUGAAGUGCGGUUAUUAUGUCUUUCAAUGCGAUUAUAGAUUUGAGUGAGGAGUUCGUUUUGCUUUUGUGAAUCUGUAUUUCACAGCCUGUAUCUGCGUCGUAUCAUCAAUUUGAAUUUCUGAUUUGUAUUAUCUGUGUUUGCUUGUUUGAGAUGGAGUUUGAGCGGGAGAUGAAGUUGAGCGGUCGGAGAGGCGAGGUGGGCGGCGGCAGCAGCCGGGUGUUGCCGACUGCCGCUGCUGAUUUGUGCAGCGAAGGAGACGAGCUGGGGGAGUUAAAUUCCAGCAGCUUUCCGCCAGAGACUUCAAGGUGAGUAUUUGCAUAAGGUCGUGGGUUUAUAUCCCACACAUUGCGAUUAUGUGUUGCUUUGACAAAAUCUGCUUUGCUUGGUUUUAAACCAUAAAUAAAUUACUUGCUUUCAUCACUAAUUUAGUAAUUUGCUUCGCUUGGUUUUAUUGUUGGUACCGUGCCUCAUUGAGGCCUCUAUGUGUGGAAUUUUUGAAAUGGUAUAUUUGACAAUUGUGUAGCAGCUGAAAUUGUUUAUUUUUAAAUUAGUAGAAUUGCAGCUAUUUUUUCCUUCUUUGCUGGUGAUGAAGUAUGAUUUUUAUGUGGAAAAAUGAAGUGAACUAGUAGAAUAGUCUGUUUUGAGUCUAUGCAAUUUGAGAGUCUGCUUAAACUUAGUAAAUAUGCAAUCUUUAUUAUUUUUGACUGCUGGUGGUUGAGUGCCUUUGCUGGUAUUAUAUUUCAGGAGGUCAUUUGGUUUUGUCUUGUCUGAGUGGCAAUAAGAGUAGCAAUAGCCUAUAUUUCGUUCUUCAUUUCUUAUUUUUCUUCAUUUCAGUUAGUAGGCUGUGAAAGAGGGAGCUAUGCAGCAGGAGAGAGCCAAUGUCAUUUAUUCAUUUAUUUAUGGAUUUUUUGUUUGCUUUUUGGAG
RNAcentral lists this long non-coding RNA (1950 nucleotides) under Salvia miltiorrhiza (redroot sage). Its description in RNAcentral is "long non-coding RNA (SMIL_LNC005738)". The record is from RNAcentral. Lineage: Eukaryota; Viridiplantae; Streptophyta; Magnoliopsida; Lamiales; Lamiaceae.